AUGGGAUAUUUUGCUCCAGAGCUAGCACGCACCGGUAAGGCAACACCUCUAACAGAUGUGUAUGCAUUUGGCAUUUUCAUCCUCGAGGUAACUUGCGGACGAAGGCCUAUUAUUGACAACAAUCAGGCAGAGGAUGUUGAUUCAGAGAUAUUAAUUGAUUGGGUUGUUGAGCAUUGGCGCAAAGGGUCACUUACAGACACACUGGACAGAAGACUACAAGGCAGCAACUGUAAUCUUGAUGAGGUAUGUCUAGCGUUAAAGCUAGGAUUGCUGUGUGCACAUCCAUUUGGCAAUGUAAGGCCUAGUAUGCGGCAAGUCAUGCAAUACCUUGACGGUGAGAUGCUGCUCCCAGAGCUGAUGCCUACAAACGUCAGCUAUAGCAUGAUGGCAGUAAUGCAGAAUGAUGGUUUCAGCUAG
RNAcentral lists this ribosomal RNA (417 nucleotides) under Triticum aestivum (bread wheat). Its description in RNAcentral is "partial small subunit ribosomal RNA". Lineage: Eukaryota; Viridiplantae; Streptophyta; Magnoliopsida; Poales; Poaceae. The record is from RNAcentral.